This 253-nucleotide ribosomal RNA is filed under the name uncultured bacterium. RNAcentral's name for it is "partial 16S ribosomal RNA". It matches the Rfam family "Bacterial small subunit ribosomal RNA", at positions 524 to 776 of the family's 1533-position model. The record is from RNAcentral.
UACGAAGGGUGCAAGCGUUGUUCGGAAUCAUUGGGCGUAAAGCGCGUGUAGGCGGUUAACUAAGUCAGUUGUGAAAUCCCUUGGCUCAACCAAGGAAGUGCAUCUGAAACUAGUUAGCUAGAAGAUGGCAGAGGAAGGUGGAAUUCCAAGUGUAGAGGUGAAAUUCGUAGAUAUUUGGAGGAAUACCGGAGGCGAAGGCGACCUUCUGGGCCAUUCUUGACGCUGAGACGCGAAAGCGUGGGUAGCAAACAGG